This 510-nucleotide ribosomal RNA is filed under the name uncultured bacterium. RNAcentral describes it as "partial 16S ribosomal RNA". It matches the Rfam family "Bacterial small subunit ribosomal RNA", at positions 28 to 507 of the family's 1533-position model. The record is from RNAcentral.
GACGAACGCUGGCGGCGUGCUUAACACAUGCAAGUCGAACGAAGAGCGAUGGAAGCUUGCUUCUAUCAAUCUUAGUGGCGAACGGGUGAGUAACGCGUAAUCAACCUGCCCUUCAGAGGGGGACAACAGUUGGAAACGACUGCUAAUACCGCAUACGAUCUAAUCUCGGCAUCGAGGAUAGAUGAAAGGUGGCCUCUACAUGUAAGCUAUCACUGAAGGAGGGGAUUGCGUCUGAUUAGCUAGUUGGAGGGGUAACGGCCCACCAAGGCGAUGAUCAGUAGCCGGUCUGAGAGGAUGAACGGCCACAUUGGGACUGAGACACGGCCCAGGCUCCUACGGGAGGCAGCAGUGGGGAAUCUUCCGCGAUGGACGAAAGUCUGACGGAGCAACGCCGCGUGAGUGAUGACGGCCUUCGGGUUGUAAAGCUCUGUUAAUCGGGACGAAAGGCCUUCUUGCGAAUAGUGAGAAGGAUUGACGGUACCGGAAUAGAAAGCCACGGCUAACUACGUG